AGACUGCAAGCAUCUACAGAAUGUUCCUAAAACAUUAAAGUUAUUACAAGUUAAGAGGGAUGGGCCCUGAGCAUGAGCUGCCCGUCAACAACCUGCAUCACCACGGUGCAGGGAGUGAGGUCCAGCUCAGGGUGCACACAGGCAACCUGAGCAAGGGCAUCCUCAAACCCCCAUCCAUAUGCGUCGGCGACAUCUUCAAUGAUCUCCGCUUCAGUCUUCUUGGCAAG
Molecule: long non-coding RNA, 227 nt
Filed under: Phaseolus vulgaris (common bean)
Lineage: Eukaryota; Viridiplantae; Streptophyta; Magnoliopsida; Fabales; Fabaceae
Description: long non-coding RNA (PVUL_LNC000189)
Source: RNAcentral